Molecule: non-coding RNA, 45 nt
Organism: Equus caballus (horse)
Lineage: Eukaryota; Metazoa; Chordata; Mammalia; Perissodactyla; Equidae
Source: Rfam
CAAAAGGCUCUUUUAAGAGCCACCCACAUUCUCUCAAAGAUCUGU